GUGAUGAGCUAGCCCCUGUGCGACCAUGAGCGGGAUGAUUUGCGCUGA
This 48-nucleotide small nucleolar RNA is filed under the name Pyrobaculum arsenaticum DSM 13514. RNAcentral describes it as "PARsR52". The record is from RNAcentral. Lineage: Archaea; Thermoproteati; Thermoproteota; Thermoprotei; Thermoproteales; Thermoproteaceae. RNAcentral also lists the same sequence under 1 other name.